UUUCCGUAGGUGAACCUGCGGAAGGAUCAUUAAAGAGUAUUAAGGGUAUUAUGUAUUCUCUCUUGAACACAUCAAUACCUUUCUUCUUUUUACCCCAUAUAUAUUUCUAUCUUUAGUUGCUUUGGUAAUUGUCAAUCUGAUGAUUGCCAAGGGAAACAUUUAAACCCCUUUUGUUAUCCAAUAAUUGGUUACUUAUAGUCUGAUUUUUAAUGCUGAAAUAGUAUUUAAAACUUUCAACAAUGGAUCUCUUGGUUCUG
This 257-nucleotide unclassified non-coding RNA is filed under the name fungal sp. Its description in RNAcentral is "partial contains small subunit ribosomal RNA, internal transcribed spacer 1, and 5.8S ribosomal RNA". RNAcentral also lists the same sequence under 1 other name. The record is from RNAcentral. Lineage: Eukaryota; Fungi.